AAUUACCUUUAGCGACAAUGUAACUCUCACUAAUACUUUCAAUAACGAAAAGCUAUUUUAUACAAAUUCAUUGCUCAUAAUUUUUAGUGACUGAAAUCUAUCCAAGAAAGCAAACCAUGCAAAAGAUAAUAGUCAAGUAGUAGUAACGGUAGAAUGAUAACAAAAAAUUUUACUGAAUACAAUGAGUUAAGCUGAACAAAACUGAUAACCCAUACCUUGGGGUCGGUCUUCCAUCUGA
Molecule: unclassified non-coding RNA, 238 nt
Filed under: Hevea brasiliensis (rubber tree)
Lineage: Eukaryota; Viridiplantae; Streptophyta; Magnoliopsida; Malpighiales; Euphorbiaceae
Source: RNAcentral